RNAcentral lists this ribosomal RNA (727 nucleotides) under uncultured bacterium. RNAcentral's name for it is "bacterial SSU rRNA". It matches the Rfam family "Bacterial small subunit ribosomal RNA", at positions 772 to 1499 of the family's 1533-position model. The record is from RNAcentral.
ACAGGAUUAGAUACCCUGGUAGUCCACGCCGUAAACGAUGUCGACUUGGAGGCUGUUUCCUUGAGAAGUGGCUUCCGGAGCUAACGCGUUAAGUCGACCGCCUGGGGAGUACGGCCGCAAGGUUAAAACUCAAAUGAAUUGACGGGGGCCCGCACAAGCGGUGGAGCAUGUGGUUUAAUUCGAUGCAACGCGAAGAACCUUACCUACUCUUGACAUCCACGGAAUUUGGCAGAGAUGCCUUAGUGCCUUCGGGAACCGUGAGACAGGUGCUGCAUGGCUGUCGUCAGCUCGUGUUGUGAAAUGUUGGGUUAAGUCCCGCAACGAGCGCAACCCUUAUCCUUUGUUGCCAGCGAUUCGGUCGGGAACUCAAAGGAGACUGCCGGUGAUAAACCGGAGGAAGGUGGGGAUGACGUCAAGUCAUCAUGACCCUUACGAGUAGGGCUACACACGUGCUACAAUGGCGCAUACAAAGAGAAGCGACCUCGCGAGAGCAAGCGGACCUCAUAAAGUGCGUCGUAGUCCGGAUCGGAGUCUGCAACUCGACUCCGUGAAGUCGGAAUCGCUAGUAAUCGUGGAUCAGAAUGCCACGGUGAAUACGUUCCCGGGCCUUGUACACACCGCCCGUCACACCAUGGGAGUGGGUUGCAAAAGAAGUAGGUAGCUUAACCUUCGGGAGGGCGCUUACCACUUUGUGAUUCAUGACUGGGGUGAAGUCGUAACAAGGUAA